This 510-nucleotide long non-coding RNA is filed under the name Gallus gallus (chicken). RNAcentral's name for it is "long non-coding RNA NONGGAT003497". The record is from RNAcentral. Lineage: Eukaryota; Metazoa; Chordata; Aves; Galliformes; Phasianidae.
AUGAGAUCUCAGCGGGGCUCACGACCCUCAUGGCCAAGGGGAAAACCAAAGAGCACCGGGCGCGGGUCCGGCCAGGGGACAGGCGGGAGGAGAAGUCCCCUGAGCCGGCUGCGGGCGAUGCAAAGCCGGCUGCAUCCCCGGGUGCCAAAGCCACACCAGAGCCUCCAGCACGGCCUUCGGGAGGGAAAGCGGAGCCUGCAAAGGCGUCCGCCCCGAAACCCACCGCCCUGGAGAGGCACAAGGUAGCGCGUGUGCAUACAGCAUGGGUGCCCUAACCUGUGUGGCAGAGCAUGGUGUGAGCUCACCCGCAUGGCGUGCAGUGGUUUUGGGGCAUGCGGGGUGUGCGGUGACACGUGGGGACGUUAUUUGGGGUGCACCCCGUCACACUGCCCUUAUCUCCCCGUCGCGUUCACACCGAGAAGAAGCAGCAGCCUGGCGAGAAGCGACCGACCCCAGCAAAAACCGCCCCGGGACCCCCCCAGCAGGCUGCGCCCGGCCCCGCGCCCCGGC